UCAUGUGGUUGUCUUCCACAGUCGGUACAUGGGGAGCAUGAUACUUCCAAUAGUGUGAGUUCCAAUAGUGUGAGUUCCAAUAGUGUGAGUUCCAAUAGUGAGAGUUCCAAUAGUGAGAGUUCCAAUAGUGUGAGUUCCAAUAGUGAGAGUUCCAAUAGUGAGAGUUCCAAUAGUGUGAGUUCCAGUAGUGUGAGUUCCAGUAGUGUGAGUUCCAAUAGUGAGAGUUCCAAUAGUGUGAGUUCCAAUAGUGUGAGUUCCAAUAGUGAGAGUUCCAAUAGUGAGAGUUCCAAUAGUGAGAGUUCCAAUAGUGUGAGUUCCAAUAGUGGGAGUUCAAAUAGUGAAAGUUCCAAUAGUGAGAGUUCCAAUAGUGAGAGUUCCAAUAGUGUGAGUUCCAAUAGUGUGAGUUCUAAUAGUGUGAGUUCCAAUAGUGUGAGUUCCAAUAGUGUGAGUUCCAACAGUGUGAGUUCCAACAGUGUGAGUUCCAAUAGUGAGAGUUCCAAUAGUGAGAGUUCCAAUAGUGAGAGUUCCAAUAGUGUGAGUUCCAAUAGUGAGAGUUCCAAUAGUGAGAGUUCCAAUAGUGAGAGUUCCAAUAGUGUGAGUUCCAAUAGUGGGAGUUCAAAUAGUGUGAGUUCCAAUAGUGAGAGUUCCAAUAGUGAGAGUUCAAAUAGUGUGAGUUCCAAUAGUGUGAGUUCCAAUAGUGUGAGUUCCAAUAGUGUGAGUUCCAAUAGUGAGAGUUCCAAUAGUGAGAGUUCCAGUAGUGUGAGUUCCAGUAGUGUGAGUUCCAAUAGUGUGAGUUCCAAUAGUGUGAGUUCCAAUAGUGUGAGUUCCAAUAGUGAGAGUUCCAAUAGUGAGAGUUCCAAUAGUGUGAGUUCCAGUAGUGUGAGUUCCAGUAGUGUGAGUUCCAAUAGUGUGAGUUCCAAUAGUGUGAGUUCCAAUAGUGUGAGUUCCAAUAGUGAGAGUUCCAAUAGUGAGAGUUCCAAUAGUGAGAGUUCCAAUAGUGAGAGUUCCAAUAGUGAGAGUUCCAAUAGUGUGAGUUCCAAUAGUGUGAGUUCCAACAGUGUGAGUUCCAACAGUGUGCGUUCCAAUAGUGUGAGUUCCAACAGUGUGAGUUCCAACAGUGUGAGUUCCAACAGUGUGCGUUCCAAAAGUGUGCGUUCCAAUAGUGUGCGUUCCAAUAGUGUGAGUUCCAACAGUGUGAGUUCCAACAGUGUGAGUUCCAACAGUGUGAGUUCCAACAGUGUGAGUUCCAACAGUGUGAGUUCCAAUAGUGUGAGUUCCAAUAGUGUGAGUUCCAAUAGUGUGAGUUCCAGUAGUGUGAGUUCCAGUAGUGUGAGUUCCAAUAGUGUGAGUUCCAAUAGUGUGAGUUCCAAUAGUGUGAGUUCCAAUAGUGAGAGUUCCAAUAGUGAGAGUUCCAAUAGUGAGAGUUCCAAUAGUGAGAGUUCCAAUAGUGUGAGUUCCAAUAGUGUGAGUUCCAAUAGUGAGAGUUCCAAUAGUGAGAGUUCCAAUAGUGAGAGUUCCAAUAGUGUGAGUUCCAAUAGUGUGAGUUCAAAUAGUGUGAGUUCCAAUAGUGAGAGUUCCAAUAGUGAGAGUUCCAAUAGUGUGAGUUCCAAUAGUGUGAGUUCCAACAGUGUGAGUUCCAACAGUGUGCGUUCCAAUAGUGUGCGUUCCAAUAGUGUGAGUUCCAACAGUGUGAGUUCCAACAGUGUGAGUUCCAACAGUGUGCGUUCCAAAAGUGUGCGUUCCAAUAGUGUGCGUUCCAGUAGUGUGAGUUCCAACAGUGUGAGUUCCAACAGUGUGAGUUCCAACAGUGUGAGUUCCAACAGUGUGAGUUCCAACAGUGUGAGUUCCAAUAGUGUGAGUUCCAAUAGUGUGAGUUCCAACAGUGUGAGUUCCCACAGUGUGAGUUCCAAUAGUGUGCGUUCCAAUAGUGUGCAUUCCAAUAGUGGGAGUUCCAAUAGUGUGCGUUCCAAUAGUGUGCGUUCCAAUAGUGUGCGUUCCAAUAGUGUGCGUUCCAAUAGUGUGCAUUCCAAUAGUGUGCGUUCCAAUAGUGUGCGUUCCAAUAGUGUGCGUUCCAAUAGUGGGCGUUCCAAUAGUGGGCGUUCCAAUAGUGGGCGUUCCAAUAGUGGGAGUUCCAAAAGUGGGAGUUCCAAUAGUGGGAGUUGUGGUUAUUUCUAG
This 2175-nucleotide long non-coding RNA is filed under the name Oncorhynchus mykiss (rainbow trout). Its description in RNAcentral is "lncRNA (ENSOMYG00000075463.1)". The record is from RNAcentral. Lineage: Eukaryota; Metazoa; Chordata; Actinopteri; Salmoniformes; Salmonidae.